UCUAAAGCAUCUCUCUCCGAGGAUGAUUUCUCCUGUCCUGUGUGCUGUGACAUCUUCAAGGAUCCUGUGGUCCUGUUGUGUAGCCACAGCUUCUGUAAAGCCUGUCUGGAGGAAUACUGGAAACAGAAUGAAUAUCCGCAAUGUCCAGUCUGCAGAAAGAAAUCAUCAAUGGAAUUCCCCCCCUGUAAUCUGGUUUUAAAGAACCUGUGUGAGGCCUACUUACAGGAUAGAAGUCAGAGAGCUUCAGCAGKGYCUGAGGUGCUCUGCAGUCAGCACAGUGAGAAACUCAAGCUCUUCUGUCUGGAGGAUAAACAGCCCAUCUGUUUUGUGUGUCAAACUUCAAAAAAGCAUAAAAGCCACGACUGCUGCCCAAUAGAUGAAGCUGUACUGGUUCAUAAUGUAGGUGAUGUAUUUAACACUUCUUGAUUUACAAGAUGUACAUAUAGUCACAUGUGAAUGAAGAUCUGUGUGCCAUUCCACUCCUUUAACACACAGCACCUCUUUAUAAUGUUGUUUCAUUCCAGGARGAACUCAAGACUGCACUGGAGCCCUUAAAAGAGAAGYUGAAGGUCUUUAGAGAAGUUAAACUGACAUGUGAUCAAACAGCCAACCACAUCAAGAGUCAGGCCCAGGACAYAGAGAAGCUGAAUAAGACGGGGUUUGAGAAGUUUCAUCAGUUUCUACAUCAAGAAGAGAGAGWCAGGAUAGCUGCACUGAAGGAGGAAGAGGAGCAGAAGAGGAAGAACUCAAGACUUCACUGAAGCCCUUACAGGAGAAGGAGGAGCAGAAGAGUCAGAUGAUAAAGUAGAAGAUUGAGCUGAUGAGCAGAGAGAUAUCAWCACUUUCAGACACAAUCAGAACCAUAGAGGAAGAGCUGGGAGCUGAGGACAUCUCAUUCCUGCAGAACUACAAGGAUACAGUGAAAAGAGCCCAGUGUACACUGCCAGAUCCAGAGAGAGG
Molecule: non-coding RNA, 960 nt
Organism: Salvelinus sp. IW2-2015
Lineage: Eukaryota; Metazoa; Chordata; Actinopteri; Salmoniformes; Salmonidae
Source: RefSeq, a predicted model, not a curated record